Meleagris gallopavo (turkey) is the source of this 2256-nucleotide non-coding RNA. Lineage: Eukaryota; Metazoa; Chordata; Aves; Galliformes; Phasianidae. The record is from RefSeq and is a predicted model, not a curated record.
GUCAGACCAUGCAAAAAGUCAGUCCCCCUCCUGCUUAUAAGCUCCAAUUUCCUGAAAGAAAACAGUGCUCAGUGACAGACAGACAUCCCUUUCCAUCAGGUGGAAACCAUCGGUGACGCCUACAUGGUAGUGAGCGGCCUGCCAGAGAGGAACGGCACAAAACAUGCAGAUGAGAUUGCCAAAAUGUCUCUGGAUCUCGUGGCAGCCGUUCGUCAGGUCGUGAUCCCUCACAUGCCAGCAGGCAGGCUGCAGCUGAGGGCUGGGAUACACACGGGACCCUGCGUAGCUGGAGUUGUGGGCUACAAAAUGCCUCGUUACUGCCUUUUUGGGGACACUGUAAACACUGCCUCACGCAUGGAGUCCACCAGCUUGCGUAAGUGGCUCUGGCACAAGGGGAGGGAGAUGUAGGAGGCCAUGGGGGAUAUGCAGGCCAUGAAGGAACUGUAGGAUGCCAUAAGGGAGCUGCAGGAUGCCAUAAGGGAGCUGCAGGAUGUCAUAACUGAGCUGCAGGAUGCCAUAAGGGAGCUGUAGGCUCUAUGAGAAGCUGCAGGAUGUCAUAACUGAGCUGCAGGAUGCCAUAAGGGAGCUGCAGGCUCUAUGAGAAGCUGCAGGAUGCCAUAAGAAAGCUGUAGGAUGCCAUGAGAGUGCUGCAGGCUAUGAAGGAACCAUAGGAUGCUAUGAGAGACCUGCAGGAUGCCAUAAGGGAACUGCAGGAUGCCACAAGGGAGCUUUAGGCCGUCCUUUCUGUACUGUGGUGCCCAGAAUUGCACCCAGUACGGCAGGUGAGGUGGUACCAGGGCAAGAUAGAUUGGCACAGUCCCUCAACCAUCCAGCAGCACGGUCUCCAGGAAUGGAGCAGUCAUUCCUUUCUAAUGUUCUGUUCUGAAUCCUAGCACAGAAGAUCCACAUCAGCUCUGCUACAUACAAUGCCCUUCUCACAGAUGAUGCCUACGAAAUUGAACUGAGAGGAGAAAUUGAAGUCAAGGGCAAAGGGAAAAUGAAAACCUACUGGCUUCUCGGUAACAAGAACUACAGUGUCCAAAAUGACAGCCUGGUGUGUCAAUGGAAUCCAGCUAUCUCCAAGAAAAGGAAGAUGGGAAGUAGCCAUGGAUCUGCCCAACAACUUAGUGCAGGCACUGUGGGAGCAGUACUGACUGAGCAGAGCCCUGUAACACCCUGGGAUGAGCUGAACCCUGACAGUCCCACUCAAGGGACUUCUAGACUUGCCUGGACCUCUAAGAGUGCCAUCCAUGGAAUGAGCCAGAAGCAGAAGAAUGGCUGUCAUCAAACUUCCAGCCAGGACAUGCAAGGGGAUCUUGCUUCAUCGAGUCCUCCUGCUCUGGGUGCUGAUGUAGAAUGCAGGGCACAGCUUGGAGACCAUGGUAUGAAAGUAACAGGACAAAAAGAGUUUCUCCCAGGCGCUGUAGAUGAGAUGUGAAUGAGAUGUGACAGGGUUAGAAAUGACUUAUGCUGGAGAACUGGACUGCCUCGAGCACACACACUGGUUUUACAUAGCUUUCUCUUCUUCCUCUUAGCCAUAAUUCACUUCUUAAAGCAUUCUAUUACUUGAGAACUGAAGACACCAAUAGAAAUAUAGAAAGAUGUCUCCAGAAGACAUUAGAAGGAAAAGCUAUUUCUCUCAUCAAAUUAUAGUUUGCUUUCCUUUGCUUGUUGCAGGAAAAGACCCCUCUGUAACGACAAGCAGUGCAAAAUUGUAAAUUUCUCUAUGUACAACUAAGAAAAAUGUGGGCAAAUUGAAUUGCUUCCUGAUGGUGACCAUGGCUAAACUCCAUGCAGAGUUCAAUUCAUUUCUUAGUGGGCUGCACUCACUUGUUGUCAUUAAUUCUGUCCUAUCCUGCAAUCCACCUGCUUGGGGAAUCAUUCUGAAGCAAAAAUGCGAGAGAGAGAGCUUGGCCUGUCUCCUCUUCCAGUAGAUAGGUUUGUAUCUGAUUAUUUAAGAGAUUCUGGGGGAGGAAAGGCAGGGCUUAAUGGCUGCAAAAGGUAACAAGAAUAAAGGCAUACACUUAGAAGGAAGUCAAGCAUAGAAAGCUGUAAUUGGAUUUUGUUUUUCCUAAAAUAAAAGUAGUUUUAUGGGCUUCUGAGGAAGCUGGUCUGCACAUCUCUUUUCAUUCAUGGAGUUAAAAAAAAGACUGAAAAAAACACAUCUAUGUUGAUGGCCUGUAUGGAAAAAGAGUGGAAUCCUUUCAUCUGGUUCCUGUCAGCACUCAGCAAGUGGGAUCAAAUGUGGAUAAAACA